UUUUUUUUUUAAAGCUAUUUGGUAAAGUACAAUUUUUGAAAAGAUUUUUUUUUUCUGCCAAGAAUAAAUGGUGAAAGCGGAAUUCAAACUUAAGACCUUACGAUGAACUAUCAAGAUCUUUACUAGCUAAGUUAAUCGGAAUACGAUAUCUUCAGAGAUAUUCGAGCCCAAAGCUAAUUACAUUGCUCUAAUACCAACAAGCUUAUCAAGAGCAAUCGAAAUCCAUUGCUUUAGCAUAUAUGGAGGAG
Molecule: long non-coding RNA, 248 nt
Filed under: Musa acuminata (dwarf banana)
Lineage: Eukaryota; Viridiplantae; Streptophyta; Magnoliopsida; Zingiberales; Musaceae
Description: long non-coding RNA (MACU_LNC005060)
Source: RNAcentral